GAUGAACACUAGCUACAGGCUUAACACAUGCAAGUCGAGGGGAAACGACAUCGAAAGCUUGCUUUUGAUGGGCGUCGACCGGCGCACGGGUGAGUAACGCGUAUCCAACCUGCCCACCACUUGGGGAUAACCUUGCGAAAGUAAGACUAAUACCCAAUGAUAUCUCUAGAAGACAUCUGAAAGAGAUUAAAGAUUUAUCGGUGAUGGAUGGGGAUGCGUCUGAUUAGCUUGUUGGCGGGGUAACGGGCCACCAAGGCUACGAUCAGUAGGGGUUCUGAGAGGAAGGUCCCCCACAUUGGAACUGAGACACGGUCCAAACUCCUACGGGAGGCAGCAGUGAGGAAUAUUGGUCAAUGGGCGAGAGCCUGAACCAGCCAAGUAGCGUGCAGGAUGACGGCCCUAUGGGUUGCAAACUGCUUUUAUAAGGGAAUAAAGUGAGCCUCGUGAGGCUUUUUGCAUGUACCUUAUGAAUAAGGACCGGCUAAUUCCGUGCCAGCCGCCGCAGUAA
Molecule: ribosomal RNA, 508 nt
Filed under: uncultured bacterium
Lineage: Bacteria
Description: partial 16S ribosomal RNA
Rfam family: Bacterial small subunit ribosomal RNA
Source: RNAcentral